AGCGAACGCUGGCGGCAGGCCUAACACAUGCAAGUCGAACGGAUCCUUCGGGAUUAGUGGCGGACGGGUGAGUAACACGUGGGAACGUGCCCUUUGGUUCGGAACAACUCAGGGAAACUUGAGCUAAUACCGGAUGUGCCCUUCGGGGGAAAGAUUUAUCGCCAUUGGAGCGGCCCGCGUCUGAUUAGCUAGUUGGUGAGGUAACGGCCCACCAAGGCGAUGAUCAGUAGCUGGUCUGAGAGGAUGAUCAGCCACACUGGGACUGAGACACGGCCCAGACUCCUACGGGAGGCAGCAGUGGGGAAUCUUGCGCAAUGGGCGAAAGCCUGACGCAGCCAUGCCGCGUGAAUGAUGGAGGUCUUAGGAUUGUAAAAUUCUUUCAGCGGGGACGAUAAUGACGGUACCCGCAGAAGAAGCUCCGGCUAACUUCGUG
Molecule: ribosomal RNA, 433 nt
Filed under: uncultured bacterium
Lineage: Bacteria
Description: partial 16S ribosomal RNA
Rfam family: Bacterial small subunit ribosomal RNA
Source: RNAcentral